Molecule: long non-coding RNA, 1324 nt
Organism: Heterocephalus glaber (naked mole-rat)
Lineage: Eukaryota; Metazoa; Chordata; Mammalia; Rodentia; Bathyergidae
Source: Ensembl
AGCUGAUUCAGUUCAGCUGGGUGUUACAAGCUGACCAUUAGUUAAUCCACCACAAGAAUUCUUUAUCUUUGCCCACUUUGAGGGGGCUCCAAGCCAAUCCUCAGGCCAGCCAGAAGGGCAAAGGGCCAGAACUCCCAAGUCCAUGCUGCAGCAGCCCCUUCUGUCUUCAGUUGUUUCCUGUACCUGCAGAGCCUCCUGUGUGUCAAGUGUGAAAUCAAAUGGCCUCGUUGCAUCUCCACAGCACUCUGAUGCAGAUGAAUCUGCAGCGCCCUUCCAAAGUACACGUGCAUGAACGUGAUGGAAUGCACAGUGCAGACACAACGUAUAUGUGUAUCAACUGAUGAAGAGAUAAACAACAAACAGUUUAUCCAUUCAAUGGAAUAUUAUUCAACCAUAAAAAGGAUGUAGGACUGAUACAUGUACAUGAAUAGACCUUGAAGACCUUAUGCUAACUGAAAGAAACCAGUCACAAAAGCUUGAACUCCAGUCCCUGACCUCCUGAUGACUUGAACACAGUUCCCACACUGAGGCACCAGAAGCCACUAGAUGGAGUCUGCCCACAGCGGUUCUGAGUUCUGAGCUCAGUUGGCCCCUCUCCAAGAUGGCUACCAGCCAGUCAUCCUCUCCUGUGUGAGGGCUGAAUCCAGAUAACUCACCCGCCACUGCAGUCCGAUGUGUCCACUGCUCCAUUCCGCUGGUAUGAGACAGCAGAGGUGUUGACCAACCUACCAACUGCCUGGAUCAUGGAGAAGGCCUAUGCCCAGGGAGAGAAGUGCCCUAACAACCCAAUCCCAGAAGAAACUAUGAAGAGGUUAUCAGGAGAGACACAGCAAGCCUUCCAGCGGGAGCUCCAAGACACCAUUUGUUCCCUAGAGGAAGCCAGAGUUGUAUUCCUUCUCACUGGAUCUGGUGCCUUAGGACAUACAGCACUUUCCCACAGUCAGGGCCCACCUAACAUCGUGGGAUGUCCCACAACAUCAGUAACUGAACCAAAUACUGCAAUCACAUAAGCUGCACUGACUAAGGAUGGUGGACACAAGUCUCAGAAAAAGGGGUAGCACAUUAUCACUAGGCAGUCCAGGUAUGGUAAUCAAGAAAUACAGCCUGUUCGAAGGCUGGACAGCAAAGAGAAGUGUCAGUCAAAGCAUUUAAAGGGAGGCUUCUCAAGCCCAGCUUGAACACGCAGUGUUAUGUCCUCAUGCGUGACAUAGGCCUGUUCCGUUUCAGGACUGCUGUCUGUCCUCCUCACCAUGCACAGGGGACAGCUCUGACUCUGUGAGCCUUGGGCUCCUUUUCUUUUUUAUAGUUUUGAAACAAAAUUGAG